This is a non-coding RNA of Ciona intestinalis (vase tunicate), 2960 nucleotides long. NCBI's taxonomy places the organism in Eukaryota, Metazoa, Chordata, Ascidiacea, Phlebobranchia, Cionidae. The record is from RefSeq and is a predicted model, not a curated record.
CACCGGCACCGGGAGUUUCGAUUUUCAUUUUUACAUUUUGCGCGUUCUGGUUUCACUGCGUUCAAGUGGGACUUGAUUUCUAAUUAAUAAACUACGAAAGAUCGAAACAAACUGACGACAAAGAUGGAAUACAAAGGAAAGAAACUGAAGCAAAGAUGGAUUUACAACAACACCGACCACAACUUUACCGUCAGGAAGUGGAAAAUCAAACGAAACAUUCUUAGCAGUUGCAACCCCUUCGACUACAGUGAGUAACAUUUCUCUUCUUCCAGGAUUUGAACCAUGGUUGGAUUAUGUUUCUUACUUCCAUGCAUUUUGUAUAAGACACUCGAGAAUCAAUAAAUGAACCGGCAGCCAUGGCAUGAAGACCUUAUAGAUGAAGCCUCAUGCACUAAAUGUAUGUGCUCUGUUCACAAUGCAAGACAAAAAACAAACAUUUUCAAAAAUAAUCAACUUAGCUGCAAAAGCUGAAAAUGCAAAGGUUGCCAAGGUAACGGCUCAAAACCAAGAACAAAUGCUUUUAAUAAAGCAAAGACAAGUAAAGCUACACCGAAGCCAAACAGGAAACCACCUGUAAGGAGGGGACAACCACAAACUAGCUGCAUCAAUACACAAUCACAAGGUGCAUGUAUCAGAUGGGAAACCUGGACACAGACCUAAAGAUUGUCACCACUUGUAUCUACUGUGGAAUUCAAGGACAUCUAGAAAUUGCACGCUUAAGAAAAUCUAAAGACAAAGGAAAUUUUACCAGAAACAAGAAACUGACAGCAACGAUUACAACGAUAGUAAUCUUUCCACCACAACUGUCAACUUCAACAAACAUCAGCUGUAAAUGGAAUCUUGUUCUGAAGUCGCACAGAAGCAGGUGACAAUUUUUUAUUGGAGAAACGAUGGGAAGAAUUGGAAAGACCAACACUACGACCUAUUUAUGGGAGAUAUGGAUCCCAUCAUAAACUUCCAGUACCUGGAAUUUUCUCUGCACAAUGUACUAGAACAAGAAAAGGUGGUAAGGACAAUCCACCAACAGGUAUGAACUUAGUUGUAACAAAAGUACCGGGAUUAAACCUGAUAGGACGUGAGGGUAUUGCACAAUUACAUUUGUCCAUUGACGCAAAGCUAUAAACAUAAGUUUACAAGAAGAACCAAAAUGCCCCAAAUAUUCUGCACUACAGCAAUCCUGUGAAUAACAAUGUAAAAGUUCGAACAAAUAUUUAGGGGCGAGCUAUGACAUUAAAUUUAAGUCGAUUGCUAGCCCCAUUUUUUGGGAAUCACAAGUUAUCGCGUGCCUAUGUUGUGGGUAAAGGGCAACUUAAAUAAUUUAAUGAGUACUGAACAGUGAACACUAGUAGUUUUAGGGCAGGCUGCAUCAAUACGUAUUUGGGGCGAUUACUCAGUCACCGUGAAUGAGCAGUUGGAAAGCCAUCGGCAUUCCACUCCCCGAAAAAUUAAUGCAGAAACUGGGGGGCGGAUAUGGCUUCAACAAAAUAUGUUUAGCGGAUGCGAACAACCAAAUUCGACUGAGUAACAAGAUUCAUCGGCAGCCCCAAGCACGCCCAGGGGGGUGUUACUACAAAACGCUUACCUUUUGGAAUAAAAUCAACACUUUAAUUUAAAGAAAUAAUGAUCCAAUUAACUUGUGAUCUUGGGGUUACCGUUUAAUUAGAUCAUAUUCUGGUGAGUGGACGGAAUUAUAAGGAAAUGACAGAAACUUGAUGAAACAAGUGAAGGAGAAAGGACUAAGGUGUUGUAAAGAAAAUGUGUUUUUGCGAAACAUCAGGUAGAAUACUUGGGAUUUCCCAGCGAUAGCCGAAGGAAAAAGGAGAUGCAUUAUUACAAAUGCCACCAUUAUACCACUUACACGUGGGGGUGUAUGUUGGAAAUGGAGAAAAACAGAACAAACAGCGUUUCAAGAAUCAAAACAAUUACUAAGUAUCGAUUUAGUGUUGGCCCAUUUCGAUCCCUAUUGAUAAGCAUGUGACGGUUCUAAUAAGGUCACAACAACCAUCAUAAAAUCACCUGUAUUUUCCCCACAUUCUCCAAGUUCGUUUGGUUGCAAACCAGAAUGAUCGGCAUGCAGCAUCUUCCCGUUGUUUUGGCUUGGUGCGGAACACCUUAGUCUCAUGUUUACUGAUGAACCGCUCUGGCGUAAUCGCUGCGGGCAAAGUAGGUAAGAUAGGAAACCGAAUAUUAAGUGGCUUGACUCACAGACUCACCAUUUUGAACCAAGGGAAAACCCAGGCCAGGUCGCAGUCGCAAUUGAUCGGGUUUUCCCAGAAGUUAAGCGUCAGGUCGUGAGUGAGAAUGUGUUCGAAAACGCCGGAGGGAAGUCGUGUUAUUCGGUUUUCUGAUAGAUCCAACCACUCAAGAUUAUAAAGACCUGUUGUGACGUUAAUAUCAAUUUGUACGAGAUUGUUGGAAAGAAUCAACGUCGUCAUUUCCGCAGCUUUUGUGAACGCGAAGUUAUGGAUGAUCGUUAUGUGGUUGUUGGAGAGAUCAAGGAACUCAAGAUCUGUUUGGGAGAAAGGAAAGAAGUUUCCCAUGGUAACUGCCAUUGAAGUAACCGUUCCACUGCUGAUAGCCGGUUACCAACAUCCCAGGUUCCAAGGAAAGUUCCCCCUCCACAUUAUGGCUGUAUACGACUCGGUGUAGAUCAACUGGAAAACCAGCAACGCCGUAUUCCGCAUCCAAUGAAAGCACUCUAUCCGCAGCAUUCAAGUUUAAAGUUUGCAUAUACUCGUAUGCAAGGGUUCCAACCUAUUUAGUCCAUGGUUUAGCUGAAGCUAUUACGGUAUAAUGUUGAAUAUACCUCUGAUGAUAAAGUACAAACGAUGAAGUCGCACAUCGAUAGAAUGUUGAUUUCGUUUGCAAUCUGAACCAAUCCAUACGGUGUAUCUCUCGUUUUUUCAUCACUUUCACGUUCUGUAAACUUGCGCUGACCAAUAAACUCGUAUUCUUUGUAA